UACGGGGGGGGCAAGCGUUGUUCGGAAUUACUGGGCGUAAAGGGUUCGUAGGUGGCUCGCUAAGUCAGACGUGAAAUCCCUCGGCUCAACCGGGGAACUGCGUCUGAGACUGGAGAGCUUGAGUGCAGGAGAGGAACGCGGAAUUCCAGGUGUAGCGGUGAAAUGCGUAGAUAUCUGGAGGAACACCGGUGGCGAAGGCGGCGUUCUGGACUGCAACUGACACUGAGGAACGAAAGCCAGGGGAGCAAACGGG
This 253-nucleotide ribosomal RNA is filed under the name uncultured bacterium. Its description in RNAcentral is "partial 16S ribosomal RNA". It matches the Rfam family "Bacterial small subunit ribosomal RNA", at positions 524 to 776 of the family's 1533-position model. The record is from RNAcentral.